GCCGGGUGUGGUAGUGCAUGCCUGUAAUCCUAGCUACUCAGGAGGCUGAGGCAGGAGAAUCACUUGAACCCGGGAGGCAGAGGUUGCAGUGAGCCGAGAUCUUGCCACUGCACCCCAGCCUGGGUGACUGAGUGAGACUCUGUCUCAU
This is an unclassified non-coding RNA of Pongo abelii (Sumatran orangutan), 148 nucleotides long. It matches the Rfam family "Metazoan signal recognition particle RNA". From Rfam's summary of the family: The signal recognition particle (SRP) is a universally conserved ribonucleoprotein. It is involved in the co-translational targeting of proteins to membranes. The eukaryotic SRP consists of a 300-nucleotide 7S RNA and six proteins: SRPs 72, 68, 54, 19, 14, and 9. The record is from Ensembl. Lineage: Eukaryota; Metazoa; Chordata; Mammalia; Primates; Hominidae.